Molecule: ribosomal RNA, 422 nt
Filed under: Staphylococcus aureus
Lineage: Bacteria; Bacillati; Bacillota; Bacilli; Caryophanales; Staphylococcaceae
Description: partial 23S ribosomal RNA
Rfam family: Bacterial large subunit ribosomal RNA
Source: RNAcentral
CUUGUACAGGAUAGGUAGGAGCCUUUGAAACGUGAGCGCUAGCUUACGUGGAGGCGCUGGUGGGAUACUACCCUAGCUGUGUUGGCUUUCUAACCCGCACCACUUAUCGUGGUGGGAGACAGUGUCAGGCGGGCAGUUUGACUGGGGCGGUCGCCUCCUAAAAGGUAACGGAGGCGCUCAAAGGUUCCCUCAGAAUGGUUGGAAAUCAUUCAUAGAGUGUAAAGGCAUAAGGGAGCUUGACUGCGAGACCUACAAGUCGAGCAGGGUCGAAAGACGGACUUAGUGAUCCGGUGGUUCCGCAUGGAAGGGCCAUCGCUCAACGGAUAAAAGCUACCCCGGGGAUAACAGGCUUAUCUCCCCCAAGAGUUCACAUCGACGGGGAGGUUUGGCACCUCGAUGUCGGCUCAUCGCAUCCUGGGGCU